This 73-nucleotide transfer RNA is filed under the name Candidatus Sungbacteria bacterium RIFCSPHIGHO2_02_FULL_41_12b. RNAcentral describes it as "tRNA-Arg". It matches the Rfam family "tRNA". From Rfam's summary of the family: Transfer RNA (tRNA) molecules are approximately 80 nucleotides in length. Their secondary structure includes four short double-helical elements and three loops (D, anti-codon, and T loops). RNAcentral also lists the same sequence under 1 other name. The record is from RNAcentral. Lineage: Bacteria; Candidatus Sungiibacteriota.
CCCCUCGUAGCUCAAUGGAUCAGAGCAAUCCCGUCCUAAGGGAAAGAUGCGGGUUCGAUUCCUGCCGAGGGGA